AGUUAAUGUAGCAAAACCUGGUAUUGCAAAAGACCUAAACCCUUUCCACAGGGGCUCAAAUCCCCUCAUUAACU
This 74-nucleotide transfer RNA is filed under the name Tlalocohyla godmani (Godman's treefrog). RNAcentral describes it as "tRNA-Leu". It matches the Rfam family "tRNA". Rfam says of the family: Transfer RNA (tRNA) molecules are approximately 80 nucleotides in length. Their secondary structure includes four short double-helical elements and three loops (D, anti-codon, and T loops). Lineage: Eukaryota; Metazoa; Chordata; Amphibia; Anura; Hylidae. The record is from RNAcentral.